RNAcentral lists this ribosomal RNA (1785 nucleotides) under Francisella tularensis. RNAcentral describes it as "partial 23S ribosomal RNA". It matches the Rfam family "Bacterial large subunit ribosomal RNA", at positions 758 to 2537 of the family's 2925-position model. Lineage: Bacteria; Pseudomonadati; Pseudomonadota; Gammaproteobacteria; Thiotrichales; Francisellaceae. The record is from RNAcentral.
AGUACUAAUUGGAGGACCGAACCCAAUACUGUUGCAAAAGUAUGGGAUGAGCUGUGGAUCGGAGUGAAAGGCUAAUCAAGCACGGAGAUAGCUGGUUCUCCCCGAAAACUAUUUAGGUAGUGCCUCGUGUAUAACUCAUUGGGGUAAAGCACUGUUUCGACAAUGGGGGUUUUACGACCUUACUGACUCGAUGCAAACUCAGAAUACGAUGAAGUUCGAUCACGGGAGACACACUGCGGGUGCUAAGGUCCGCAGUGGAAAGGGAAACAGCCCAGACCGCCAACUAAGGUCCCAAAGUCAUAGCUAAGUGGGAAACGAAGUGGGAAGGCCCAGACAGCCAGGAGGUUGGCUUAGAAGCAGCCACCCUUUAAAGAAAGCGUAAUAGCUCACUGGUCGAGUCGGCCUGCACGUAAGAUUUAACGGGGCUAAGCUAUGCACUGAAGUUGCGGAAUAUAUUUAGUAUAUUGGUAGGGGAGCGUUCUGUAAGCCGAUGAAGGUGAAUUGAGAAGUUUGCUGGAGGUAUCAGAAGUGCGAAUGCUGACAUGAGUAACGUAAAAUAAGUGAGAUUCUUAUUGGCCGAAAACCCAAGGGUUCCUACGCAAUGUUAAUCAACGUAGGGUAAGCCGGCCCCUAAGGCGUAGCUGAAGAGUGAAGUCGAUGGGAAACAGGUUAAUAUUCCUGUGCUGCUUAUAUGAACGAAGGAGGGACGGAGAAGGUUAGGUAGGCCUGGCGAAUGGUUGUCCAGGUGAAAGUAUGUAGGUAGGAAUGCUAGGCAAAUCCGGUGUUCUGUUGAUCUGAGAUACGAGACGAAGUUAAACUUGUUUGACGAAGCUAUUGAUACCAUGCUUCCAGGAAAAGCUUCUAAGUAUAUUGUAUAAGUGACCGUACUGUAAACCGACACUGGUGGGUAGGUAGAGAAUACUAAGGCUAUGAGAUAACUCUGGUGAAGGAACUAGGCAAAAUGACACCGUAACUUUGGAAGAAGGUGUGCCCUUGAUGGUGAUGAGACUUGCUCUUUGAGCUGUUGGGGGUUGCAGAUACCAGGUGGCUGCGACUGUUUAUCAAAAACACAGCACUCUGCGAAAUCGUAAGAUGAAGUAUAGGGUGUGACGCCUGCCCGGUGCUGGAAGGUUAAUUGAAGGGGUUAGCGCAAGCGAAGCUCUGGAUCGAAGCCCCAGUAAACGGCGGCCGUAACUAUAACGGUCCUAAGGUAGCGAAAUUCCUUGUCGGGUAAGUUCCGACCUGCACGAAUGGCGUAACGAUGGCCACACUGUCUCCACCAGAGACUCAGUGAAAUUGAAAUCGCUGUGAAGAUGCAGUGUACCCGCGGUUAGACGGAAAGACCCCGUGAACCUUUACUAUAGCUUUGCACUGGACUUUGAAUAUUUAUGUGUAGGAUAGGUGGGAGACCAUGAAGCAGCUACGCCAGUAGUUGUGGAGUCGUCCUUGAAAUACCACCCUUGAAUAUUUGAAGUUCUAACUCAGGAGAGAUUCGAGGACAGUGUAUGGUGGGUAGUUUGACUGGGGCGGUCUCCUCCUAAAGAGUAACGGAGGAGUACGAAGGUGCACUCGGUACGGUCGGAAAUCGUGCCAAGAGUAUAAAGGCAAAAGUGCGCUUGACUGCGAGAGUGACGGCUCGAGCAGGUACGAAAGUAGGUCUUAGUGAUCCGGUGGUCCCGAAUGGAAGGGUCAUCGCUCAACGGAUAAAAGGUACUCCGGGGAUAACAGGCUAAUUCCUCCCAAGAGUUCAUAUCGACGGAGGAGUUUGGCACCUCGAUGUCGGCU